AGAGUUUGAUCCUGGCUCAGAUUGAACGCUGGCGGCAGGCUUAACACAUGCAAGUCGAGCGGGGAGAUGUAGCUUGUUACAUUUCCUAGCGGCGGACGGGUGAGUAAUGCUUAGGAAUCUGCCUAUUAGUGGGGGACAACAUUCCGAAAGGAAUGCUAAUACCGCAUACGCCCUACGGGGGAAAGCAGGGGAUCUUCGGACCUUGCGCUAAUAGAUGAGCCUAAGUCAGAUUAGCUAGUUGGUGGGGUAAAGGCCUACCAAGGCGACGAUCUGUAGCGGGUCUGAGAGGAUGAUCCGCCACACUGGGACUGAGACACGGCCCAGACUCCUACGGGAGGCAGCAGUGGGGAAUAUUGGACAAUGGGCGCAAGCCUGAUCCAGCCAUGCCGCGUGUGUGAAGAAGGCCUUUUGGUUGUAAAGCACUUUAAGCGAGGAGGAGGCUACCUGGAUUAAUACUCUAGGAUAGUGGACGUUACUCGCAGAAUAAGCACCGGCUAACUCUGUGCCAGCAGCCGCGGUAAU
Molecule: ribosomal RNA, 522 nt
Filed under: uncultured bacterium
Lineage: Bacteria
Description: bacterial SSU rRNA
Rfam family: Bacterial small subunit ribosomal RNA
Source: RNAcentral